Molecule: ribosomal RNA, 227 nt
Filed under: uncultured microorganism
Description: partial 16S ribosomal RNA
Rfam family: Archaeal small subunit ribosomal RNA
Source: RNAcentral
GCGCACCAGUCGCGAAUCCUCCACAAUGCACGAAAGUGUGAUGGGGUUACCCUGAGUGCCAUCCGAUGAGGAUGGCUUUUCACCAGUGUAAGGCGCUGGUGGAAUAAGGGGAGGGCAAGGCUGGUGCCAGCCGGCCGCGGUAAAACCCAGCUCCUCGAGUGGUCGGGAUGAUUAUUGGGCCUAAAGCGUCCGUAGCCGGUCUGGUAAGUCCCCGGUUAAAUCCGGCA